GCAGCACCUGUUUCCUGCAACC
This 22-nucleotide microRNA is filed under the name Human gammaherpesvirus 8. RNAcentral describes it as "kshv-miR-K12-1-3p". Its record names the gene kshv-miR-K12-1-3p. The record is from miRBase by way of RNAcentral. Lineage: Duplodnaviria; Heunggongvirae; Peploviricota; Herviviricetes; Herpesvirales; Orthoherpesviridae.